Molecule: ribosomal RNA, 486 nt
Filed under: uncultured bacterium
Lineage: Bacteria
Description: partial 16S ribosomal RNA
Rfam family: Bacterial small subunit ribosomal RNA
Source: RNAcentral
AUUGAACGCUGGCGGCAUGCCUUACACAUGCAAGUCGAACGGCAGCGCGGACUUCGGUCUGGCGGCGAGUGGCGAACGGGUGAGUAAUACAUCGGAACGUACCCUGUUGUGGGGGAUAACUAGUCGAAAGAUUAGCUAAUACCGCAUACGACCUGAGGGGGAAAGUGGGGGACCGGAAACGGCCUCAUGCAGCAGGAGCGGCCGAUGUCUGAUUAGCUAGUUGGUGGGGUAAAGGCCCACCAAGGCGACGAUCAGUAGCUGGUCUGAGAGGACGAUCAGCCACACUGGGACUGAGACACGGCCCAGACUCCUACGGGAGGCAGCAGUGGGGAAUUUUGGACAAUGGGGGCAACCCUGAUCCAGCAAUGCCGCGUGUGUGAAGAAGGCCUUCGGGUUGUAAAGCACUUUUGUCCGGAAAGAAAUCGCGCUGGUUAAUACCUGGCGUGGAUGACGGUACCGGAAGAAUAAGCACCGGCUAACUACGUG